Molecule: long non-coding RNA, 2247 nt
Organism: Drosophila pseudoobscura
Lineage: Eukaryota; Metazoa; Arthropoda; Insecta; Diptera; Drosophilidae
Exons: 4
Source: RefSeq, a predicted model, not a curated record
AGUCGUCUCGCGGAUCUCUGGCUAACAAGUUGAAUUUAAGUACUUUUUACGAUGAGGAGAACAAACGGUUUACGUAAUGGACAGGCCCUUUAUUCUGCAACACUUUGCUUGUUUACACAGCACUACACUCUACUCCACUCCACUGCAGAUUCUGCUACAUCUGCCACAUGCAACAGGCAUCCACAGAAAAGUCUGCGUCAAAGUCUGCCUCAAAGUCUGCUUAGAUCACAGACCACAAAGGAAAGAAAAGCAAACGGAGCCCAGAGAACAGAGAAAAAAUCUCGAAGCGAGAUCCCAAACCCAAUCAAACCACACGUACAGACAAUUCCCAUCCAUUAAUUGAAUCAAAUCGAACGUUACGCAUGCGUCAUGCCACAAAAUGACAAAGGGAGCCGCCACUGGGAGAGGCUCACACAUGCAGAUGAUCAUAAUAAUGAUUAUAAUGAUGAUGACGAUAGUUCCAGCCAUCUUCUUGGAGGAGACACCGUCUCCACCACCUCCACUCCACCAAAAGCCACAGCAACAGACAGACGCAGAAGCAGACGAUGGUAGAAGCCGUGUGUGUUAAGCAAAGUGGAAAUCGCAGUUGGAGACCAUCAUCCAGAGAGGGAGGGGAAUCAGGGACUCUGGGACUCAGGGAAGUGGUGACCAAAUCAAACUGCCUCUGGACCAUGGACUGUGGACUGCGGACUGUGACUGUGGUUAAAGCCCACUUAAUUGACAUUUAGUGGACACUCGAAUGCAAAUGCAACACAGAGGCUUGUGAUAUACACUGGAAUAAACGAAGGGAACGAUUGAGGAUCGAUAUACAACCAGAUGCUUUGAUUCAUUGUUAAAUUUAUUCCCCAUUUCAGUAAUUUUGAAACUCUGUUUCUGCUGUGGAUUAUACUGGAGCUGGAUACUUCUGUGUUUCGUUAGAGGGACUCGGCCUUUCUUAAUGACACUUCGGAGAUGUCUACACUAUGUCCCAGAAAGAUCGCCAACUUUGUACGAGCAUCUGGAGAGAUCCUCUGCGGUAUCACAACGGGCCGAAAGGGCGACGGGCUCUGAGGCUGGCAGACGCCUCUACCUAACUUAGAGCUUAGAGGACUCAAAUUAGCAGGCGAUGAUCACACUCCUAGUGGUCCUUGAGAUGAUCUUCAAAAAGGGAUGUCUACAUACAGAUUCCAAAUGUUAUCAGAAGAAUAAAACACUAUAAAUCGAGGAGGAAUCGGAACUGAAAGAUGGACAACAGUCCGAAGAGUACUGGAAUCUUCAGAGCAAAAUCUGUUUAAGAUAUGAUCACCUUCUCGAUCUUAGGAACACCUUUUUGGGUGUUUUCUUGCAGUGCAUGCCACAUACCAAAGCGAGUGUCAGGCUGCGUGGAUUUUGGCUGGGCGCGAUUCUCAUCAGUAGUGCUAUAAGUAGUUUUCCUUUUCGAACUUGAAUGCUCGUCUCUGGCAGCUCUCUCUCUCCCUCUCUGUUGGCAUUCUAAUGCCCUCCCCUCGUGCCUCGUACCCCCAAUCCAUCCGUUGAUAAUGAGCAUGUUCUCCAGUUGCCAUUCCUGUUGCUCAUGAUUUCUGAAGAUGCGACUGCAGCGGCGGCUGCAGAAGUAGCAUUCGAAGAAGUAGCUUCAACUGAACCCAGACAUCAUUACAAUAUAAUUGAUGGGUUAUGGCCCCGCUAACGGUACUGGCCAAAAUGUUUCCUUGGAUUCUGUUUUUUGCUUUAGAAGGAGGAGGAGGAGAAGCCAGUUUUCGGUUUGGGGAAAUUAUCAUUGUUCCGUUUGACAGCUGGCGAGGAGUUGUGCGUAUGGUUAUGGGAGUUGCUUUGGAGUUUCGGCUAUGAAUAUGGAAAAUGGUUAUAGUGCCACCAAAUCGGGCGGGUAAUGUGAGCCGCUGACAUAGAAAACUACUUAGGAUUUGCUAGAGAAAAUGUGCAGAGAAUGCAGUGGGUUCUUGAAUUUUUGCGCACAGAAAAGGUUUGAGUCCUGGGAAGCGAAAUGACUUGAUUUUGAGACCAGAAAUAUUGUCAGACAUGAGAUACACAUAUCCCGACUACCUUUAAAACGCUCCCUGACUUCAUAAAUCAAUUCCCAGGGCCUUCAAUCUCAAAAAACAACCAGAAAUCGCAGCAAAAACUUUCAAGAACCGCCCUCCUAUAUAUGUAUCUGCUCAACCGAAACGAAUCUCUGGCCGCAUUCGCGUGAAUCAAAAUCGACUAAAAACCCUAUUCAUUUCAAUGUCAUUUGGCAGUCGAACAAAAAAA